Molecule: long non-coding RNA, 822 nt
Filed under: Junco hyemalis (dark-eyed junco)
Lineage: Eukaryota; Metazoa; Chordata; Aves; Passeriformes; Passerellidae
Description: lncRNA (ENSJHYG00000006223.1)
Source: RNAcentral
AGCUGCUCUGGGGGUGUUUUCUGGAGCAUCAUUGUGGCCCUGGGUGGGAUUCCUUUCUGUCCUGUUGAGACCUGUCUGGUUUUUGGAAACCUGGUAUUCCUGCUCUCUGUGGCUUAUCCAGAGACUACCAGCUCAAAAAAAAAUUGUCCCAGAACUCAUCCCAGUGUUUUGGAUUUUGCUGAGGAGAUGUUUAAGUGAAAACCUCUUAGUCCAUAAGCCAGACCCUUACCACAGAGGCAAAAUCUUUUUACUUUUCCCUCAAAGAUGCCAUGAGUGAAAUGAUGAAGGUACUGAUUUUUUUCAUGCUCUGGUUUCUCUCAGAGCAAAUUGGCUGCAGAGUCCACUCUGGCUUGGUGUCAGAGGGAAAAAACUUCACUUUUAUGAGCUGCUCAGCAAAUACCAUGAGGUUCAGGUGGGGAAAUGCAGUGCUGGGACUCCACAAGGUUUGGAUGGAGCAGGCUUUGCGAGGAGGAGAAGGAGCUGAAAAUGGAGCUGAAAAUGGAAACUUGAGGCUCAGAUGCUUGGAGGGGCUCAGGAGCCCCACUGAACCCAUCAGUUCCCAGGGAAGCAGGAGCUUCUGUUCCUCCUGGGGCCUGUGUCCUGCUCUCAUGCUCAGCACAGAGGGAGACAUUCACGCUCCACCUUGGAGCAAAAGUCAUUUUCAUUAACUUAUUGAGGAAAGGAGACAUAAAGACACAAUUUAAUUGCAAACCACAAGAUUACAGUGUGAGAUGAAGCGAGGAUAGAAUGAGGGAGGAAAAGGAAAAACAACUUGGUCUUAUUUUUGAUUUGCACCCCUUUAGCUGGCUGAGGGAGAGCUAG